RNAcentral lists this ribosomal RNA (468 nucleotides) under uncultured bacterium. Its description in RNAcentral is "partial 16S ribosomal RNA". It matches the Rfam family "Bacterial small subunit ribosomal RNA", at positions 28 to 507 of the family's 1533-position model. The record is from RNAcentral.
GACGAACGCUGGCGGCGUGCUUAACACAUGCAAGUCGAACGGAAAGGCCCUGCUUUUGUGGGGUGCUCGAGUGGCGAACGGGUGAGUAACACGUGAGUAACCUGCCCUUGACUUUGGGAUAACUUCAGGAAACUGGGGCUAAUACCGGAUAGGAGCUCCUGCUGCAUGGUGGGGGUUGGAAAGUUUCGGCGGUUGGGGAUGGACUCGCGGCUUAUCAGCUUGUUGGUGGGGUAGUGGCUUACCAAGGCUUUGACGGGUAGCCGGCCUGAGAGGGUGACCGGCCACAUUGGGACUGAGAUACGGCCCAGACUCCUACGGGAUGCAGCAGUGGGGAAUAUUGCACAAUGGGCGGAAGCCUGAUGCAGCAACGCCGCGUGCGGGAUGACGGCCUUCGGGUUGUAAACCGUUUUCGCCUGUGACGAAGCGUGAGGGACGGUAAUGUGUAAAGAAGCACCGGCUAACUACGUG